GGCUCCUUCAUCUAGUGGUUAGGAUACCACCCUUUCACGGUGGUUACAGGGGUUCAAAUCCCCUAGGAGUCACCAC
This 76-nucleotide transfer RNA is filed under the name Helicobacter pylori 2018. RNAcentral describes it as "tRNA-Glu". It matches the Rfam family "tRNA". From Rfam's summary of the family: Transfer RNA (tRNA) molecules are approximately 80 nucleotides in length. Their secondary structure includes four short double-helical elements and three loops (D, anti-codon, and T loops). Lineage: Bacteria; Pseudomonadati; Campylobacterota; Epsilonproteobacteria; Campylobacterales; Helicobacteraceae. The record is from RNAcentral. RNAcentral also lists the same sequence under 1 other name.